Long non-coding RNA from Triticum dicoccoides, 693 nucleotides. RefSeq lists it as uncharacterized. The transcript is spliced from 4 exons. NCBI's taxonomy places the organism in Eukaryota, Viridiplantae, Streptophyta, Magnoliopsida, Poales, Poaceae. The record is from RefSeq and is a predicted model, not a curated record.
AAAUUUCCUGCUCCUCUCCCCAUCCCCCAUUGUCGCUACCCACCAGAUCGGAGGUCCUCCUGCUCCAGCCAGGUCGAACGCCGCCCCCUCCUCAUCUGCGGUAUCUCGGCGGCCGCCUCACUCACAACCUUCUCCUCCGUGGCUCAAUCCGCUCGAACGCCUCCGCGAACCCUAGGCGAGAACGGCGGCGGCGGCCCCGGGGACGGAGGCCGCCGCAUCGGCGGGAGAACAUAUUGGUGCGCCGCCUCGUCCUCCACGAAUCCGGCAGAGGAACAUACUGGUGCGCCGCCACCUCAUGGCGGAGGAGACGGGCGCCACUGUCCUGUCGGCGCCGUACUGCCUCAUCCCUAGGGUUCGGGUGGCCUCGUCGCCGUCUUUUGCUCCGCUGGUGACGCCUCACGUGGGAUUUAUUGUUUUCUGCUGUGCUGGAUAGAAAGAUUCCUUGGUCUCGACCAGUAAACCUCCAAUCCAACAUGUCCCCCAUGGAGUGGUUUCAGCAAGGAAGAUGGAGAGCCCAUUCUCUCACUCACAAGGGUUGACAUCUCUUUGUCCCUUUCAGAAUCUGAGUUAUUUGAUGUAGAAAUUGUGGCUGAGGAUCGUCCAAUGGAGAUUCCUGAUCCCCAAUUCUUGGGCAUCGAGAAUAACACGAAUCUCAAGUGCCACCAUGGGAGCUGCUGGAGAGGAAGGUAGCUU